AUGUUCACCUUAGAUAUAGCCAAAGUUUGCUGUUAAGUAUUUUGAUUCAGAAUUUGUAUUUUUUCUUAUUAGAGUAGAAGUUGCUGCCAUCCCUUGGAGCGAUUGUGGAGGUCAGAGAGACAACCAUAUUGAUUUUUGUCAUUGAUACAAAAGAAAACUCUCCCUUCACUUGGCUUGGACUGUUAUCAUUGCUGAAUUUCUGUAAGCAGUUACACAGUGGCUGUUCAAUGAGCCAUACCUAACAAAGUAAUGAGGUUUAAUUAGCCCAGCUUAAUCUGACACUGUGCUGCUGGCACACUAUCUUCUUGUACAGCUGGCUAGUGAUGCAUGUAUGCAUAUGAAAUAAAGAUCACUCCUUAAAAUUUUUCUUUGCUUCU
RNAcentral lists this long non-coding RNA (377 nucleotides) under Cyanistes caeruleus (blue tit). RNAcentral's name for it is "lncRNA (ENSCCEG00000017937.1)". The record is from RNAcentral. Lineage: Eukaryota; Metazoa; Chordata; Aves; Passeriformes; Paridae.